CCAGCAGCCCCCUUUAUUUCCAGACAAAAGGUUGUCAACAAACCUGGAAAUGAGUCCUGGUCUUGUGGAAACUGAACUCAGCUUCGUGGGGCUGACCGCUCUGGCCCAGGGUGGUAUAUGAC
Molecule: non-coding RNA, 122 nt
Organism: Equus caballus (horse)
Lineage: Eukaryota; Metazoa; Chordata; Mammalia; Perissodactyla; Equidae
Source: Rfam